RNAcentral lists this transfer RNA (74 nucleotides) under Tsukubamonas globosa. RNAcentral describes it as "tRNA-Ile". It matches the Rfam family "tRNA". From Rfam's summary of the family: Transfer RNA (tRNA) molecules are approximately 80 nucleotides in length. Lineage: Eukaryota; Tsukubea; Tsukubamonadida; Tsukubamonadidae. The record is from RNAcentral.
AGGUUUGUAACUCAGUUGGUUAGAGUACCCGCUUGAUAAGCGGAAAGUCGGUGGUUCAAAUCCACCCAGACCUA